AUUGAACGCUAGCGUCAGGCCUAACACAUGCAAGUCGAACGCGGGGAGGACGGGUGUGUACUGUCGGGGAAACUGCACGAUGGAGGGGGAUAACGACUGUAAAAGGUAGCUAAUACCGCAUACCCUCGGAUGUGCCCAGAGGGGAUUAGCUAGGAGGUGGGGGAACGGCUCACCACGGCGCCGAGCCAGAGCUGUUCUGAGAGGAUGACCAGCCACACUGGAACUGAGACACGGUCCAGACUCCUACGGGAGGCAGCAGUGGGGAAGAGUGCACAAUGGGCGUAAGCCUGAUGCAGCCAUGCCGCGUGUAUGAAGAAGGCCUUCGGGUGGUAAAGUACUUUCAGCGAGGAGGCGUUACUCGCAGAAGAAGCACCGGCUAACUCCGUGCCAGCAGCCGCGGUAAUUC
Molecule: ribosomal RNA, 406 nt
Filed under: uncultured bacterium
Lineage: Bacteria
Description: partial 16S ribosomal RNA
Rfam family: Bacterial small subunit ribosomal RNA
Source: RNAcentral